GUGUCAGCCGCCGCGGUAAUACGUAGGGGGCAAGCGUUGUCCGGAAUUAUUGGGCGUAAAGCGCGCGCAGGCGGUCUUUUAAGUCUGGUGUAUAAUCCCGUGGCUCAACCACGGGCCGCAUUGGAAACUGGGAGACUUGAGUGUAGGAGAGGAAAGUGGAAUUCCACGUGUAGCGGUGAAAUGCGUAGAGAUGUGGAGGAACACCAGUGGCGAAGGCGACUUUCUGGCCUAUAACUGACGCUGAGGCGCGAAAGCGUGGGGAGCAAACAGGAUUAGAUACCCUUGUAGUCC
This 291-nucleotide ribosomal RNA is filed under the name uncultured bacterium. Its description in RNAcentral is "partial 16S ribosomal RNA". It matches the Rfam family "Bacterial small subunit ribosomal RNA", at positions 505 to 796 of the family's 1533-position model. The record is from RNAcentral.